UUAACAUAGGACCCUAUGGGAAAUGCAUACAAAUGACAUAUUUUAGAGAACCACUGAAUGGAAUGAAACCAAACAUAGCAUGAAUGUUCCUUAUGCGACGCUGACCAAGUGUUGUUACUUUGUCUCCGAUCCAUCAUCCAAGAUGGCUGCCAGUGGGGGGCUUAGUUUAACAUAGGACCCUAUGGGAAAUGCAUACAAAAGUUUUCUUCUAGAGAACCACGGAAUUGAAUGAAAUCAAACAUAGCAUGAAUAGUUCUUUCCUUAUGAGAUGCUGGCCAAGUGUUGUUACUUUGUAGCCAAAUUUUAUCUGUUUUUAUAUGAUUUCAAAAACCCAAGUAGAGUCAGGUGAGCGAUACAGGCUCUUG
Molecule: long non-coding RNA, 365 nt
Filed under: Mytilus galloprovincialis (Mediterranean mussel)
Lineage: Eukaryota; Metazoa; Mollusca; Bivalvia; Mytilida; Mytilidae
Source: RNAcentral